CAAUAGCGUAUAUUAAAGCUGUUGCGGUUAAAAAGCUCGUAGUUGGAUUUCUGUCAAGGACAACUGGUCCGCCCUCCGGAUGAGCACAUAGUUUGGUCUUGGCAUCUUGCUGGAAACUGUUGCUGCGCUUGGUUGUGUGGUGCAGCUUUCAGCACUUUCACUUUGAGGAAAUUGGAGUGUUUCAAGCAGGCACAUGCCUUUGGACACAGUAGCAUGGAAUGAUUAGAUUGGGCUUUUGCUCCAACUUGUUGGUUCCUGGAGCUGAGGUGAGAAUCAAUGGGGAUUGUUGGGGGCAUCCGAAUUUAGCCGUCAGAGGUGAAAUUCUUGGAUCUGCUAAAGACGGACAACUGCGAAAGCGUUUGCCCAGGAUGUUUUCAUUGA
Molecule: ribosomal RNA, 381 nt
Filed under: uncultured eukaryote
Lineage: Eukaryota
Description: partial 18S ribosomal RNA
Rfam family: Eukaryotic small subunit ribosomal RNA
Source: RNAcentral